UACACGGCGACGUGAUGCUAAUCCCUAAAGCCUCUCUCAGUUCGGAUUGGAGUCUGCAACCCGACUCCAUGAAGCUGGAUUCGCUAGUAAUCGCGCAUCAGCCACGGCGCGGUGAAUACGUUCCCGGGCCUUGUACACACCGCCCGUCAAGCCAUGAAAGCCGGGGGUACCUGAAGUGCGUAACCGCAAGGAGCGCCCUAGGGUAAAACUGGUGAUUGGGGCUAAGUCGUAACAAGGUACC
RNAcentral lists this ribosomal RNA (241 nucleotides) under uncultured bacterium. RNAcentral's name for it is "partial 16S ribosomal RNA". It matches the Rfam family "Bacterial small subunit ribosomal RNA", at positions 1251 to 1500 of the family's 1533-position model. The record is from RNAcentral.